Molecule: regulatory RNA element, 250 nt
Organism: Enterococcus casseliflavus EC20
Lineage: Bacteria; Bacillati; Bacillota; Bacilli; Lactobacillales; Enterococcaceae
Rfam family: T-box leader
About the family: Uncharged tRNA acts as the effector for transcription antitermination of genes in the T-box leader family. T-boxes are found upstream of many aminoacyl-tRNA synthetase genes and some amino acid biosynthetic genes usually in Gram-positive bacteria.
Source: Rfam
AUGAAUGCUUUGAAAAGAAGAGUACAUGUUCUUAACGUACACAGAGAGCCCUGUUUGGUGCAAAUGGGCAACGGAGAGAGGAUGGAAGAUGGUCUUUGAGCAUGAUAGGUGAGUGGAAACAAGCCUAUCACGGGAGGCACCCGUUACAGUGCAGCAGUAUGCGAAGCAAUUCAAGUACUGAGCGAGGCUGUUGAUGCGAAUCGACAGUAAAUCAAGGUGGUAACGCGGAAGUUGUGCUUUCGUCCUUUGU